This 308-nucleotide ribosomal RNA is filed under the name uncultured eukaryote. RNAcentral describes it as "partial 18S ribosomal RNA". It matches the Rfam family "Eukaryotic small subunit ribosomal RNA", at positions 1470 to 1796 of the family's 1831-position model. The record is from RNAcentral.
CCCUUAGACGUUCUGGGCCGCACGCGCGCUACACUGACGAAGGCAACGAGCUUUCCUUUACCGAAAGGUACGGGUAAUCUUUUGAAACUUCGUCGUGCUGGGGAUAGAUCCUUGCAAUUUUUGAUCUUAAACGAGGAAUUCCUAGUAAGCGCAAGCCAUCAACUUGCGUUGAUUACGUCCCUGCCCUUUGUACACACCGCCCGUCGCUACUACCGAUUGAAUGGUUUAGUGAGGCCUUCGGAUCCGCGACUCGUUUUGUGGAGAAGUUGGACAAACUCAGUCAUUUAGAGGAAGUAAAAGUCGUAACA